UACAGAGGGUGCAAGCGUUGUUCGGAAUCAUUGGGCGUAAAGCGCUCGUAGGCGGCUUACUAAGUCGGAUGUGAAAGCCCAGGGCUCAACCCUGGAAGUGCAUUCGAAACUGGUGAGCUUGAAUCCUGGAGAGGGCAGUGGAAUUCCGAGUGUAGAGGUGAAAUUCGUAGAUAUUCGGAGGAACACCAGUGGCGAAGGCGACUGCCUGGACAGAGAUUGACGCUGAGGAGCGAAAGCGUGGGGAGCAAACAGG
Molecule: unclassified non-coding RNA, 253 nt
Filed under: uncultured Myxococcales bacterium
Lineage: Bacteria; Pseudomonadati; Myxococcota; Myxococcia; Myxococcales
Description: contains 16S-23S intergenic spacer region
Rfam family: Bacterial small subunit ribosomal RNA
Source: RNAcentral